RNAcentral lists this ribosomal RNA (464 nucleotides) under Vreelandella stevensii. Its description in RNAcentral is "partial 16S ribosomal RNA". It matches the Rfam family "Bacterial small subunit ribosomal RNA", at positions 339 to 795 of the family's 1533-position model. The record is from RNAcentral. Lineage: Bacteria; Pseudomonadati; Pseudomonadota; Gammaproteobacteria; Oceanospirillales; Halomonadaceae.
CCUCGGGAGGCUGCAGUGGGGAAUAUUGGACAAUGGGCGAAAGCCUGAUCCAGCCAUGCCGCGUGUGUGAAGAAGGCCUUCGGGUUGUAAAGCACUUUCAGUGGGGAAGAAAGCCUUGGGGCUAAUACCCUCGAGGAAGGACAUCACCCACAGAAGAAGCACCGGCUAACUCCGUGCCAGCAGCCGCGGUAAUACGGAGGGUGCGAGCGUUAAUCGGAAUUACUGGGCGUAAAGCGCGCGUAGGCGGUCUGAUAAGCCGGUUGUGAAAGCCCCGGGCUCAACCUGGGAACGGCAUCCGGAACUGUCAGGCUAGAGUGCAGGAGAGGAAGGUAGAAUUCCCGGUGUAGCGGUGAAAUGCGUAGAGAUCGGGAGGAAUACCAGUGGCGAAGGCGGCCUUCUGGACUGACACUGACGCUGAGGUGCGAAAGCGUGGGUAGCAAACAGGAUUAGAUACCCUUGUAGUC